This 78-nucleotide transfer RNA is filed under the name Clostridiaceae bacterium. Its description in RNAcentral is "tRNA-Pro". It matches the Rfam family "tRNA". Rfam says of the family: Transfer RNA (tRNA) molecules are approximately 80 nucleotides in length. Their secondary structure includes four short double-helical elements and three loops (D, anti-codon, and T loops). The record is from RNAcentral. Lineage: Bacteria; Bacillati; Bacillota; Clostridia; Eubacteriales; Clostridiaceae.
CGGGAUGUAGCGCAGUUUGGCUAGCGCGCUUGGUUCGGGACCAAGAGGUCGCAGGUUCAAGUCCUGUCAUCCCGACCA